GCCCCGCAAGGGGAGUGGCAGACGGGUGAGUAACGCGUGGGAACGUACCUUUCGCUUCGGAAUAGUCCCGGGAAACUGGGUUUAAUACCGAAUACGCCGUAUUGGGAAAGAUUUAUCGGCGAAAGAUCGGCCCGCGUUGGAUUAGCUAGUUGGUGGUGUAAGAGACCACCAAGGCGACGAUCCAUAGCUGGUCUGAGAGGAUGAUCAGCCACACUGGGACUGAGACACGGCCCAGACUCCUACGGGAGGCAGCAGUGGGGAAUCUUGGACAAUGGGCGCAAGCCUGAUCCAGCCAUGCCGCGUGAGUGAAGAAGGCCUUAGGGUUGUAAAACUCUUUCGCCGGUGAAGAUAAUGACGGUAGCCGGAGAAGAAGCCCCGGCUAACUUCGUGCCAGCAGCCGCGGUAAUACGAAGGGGGCUAGCGUUGUUCGGAAUUACUGGGCGUAAAGCGCACGUAGGCGGGUCUGUAAGUAGGGGGUGAAAUCCCAGGGCUCAACCCUGGAAUUGCCUUCUAGACUGCGGAUCUGGAGGUCAGGAGAGGCGAGUGGAAUACCG
This 554-nucleotide ribosomal RNA is filed under the name uncultured bacterium. RNAcentral's name for it is "bacterial SSU rRNA". It matches the Rfam family "Bacterial small subunit ribosomal RNA", at positions 81 to 671 of the family's 1533-position model. The record is from RNAcentral.